GGGCUCAUAGUUUAAAGUAGAAUAAUGGUUUUGUAGACCUUUGGUGCGUGGUAAGCUGGGUUCA
Molecule: transfer RNA, 64 nt
Filed under: Mactra alta
Lineage: Eukaryota; Metazoa; Mollusca; Bivalvia; Venerida; Mactridae
Description: tRNA-Thr
Source: RNAcentral